UACGUAGGUGGCAAGCGUUGUCCGGAUUUACUGGGCGUAAAGGGCGCGUAGGCGGGAUGGCAAGUCGGUCGUGAAAUCCUUCGGCCCAACCGAAGAACGUCGGCCGAUACUGCCGUUCUUGAGGGAUGCAGAGGAGACUGGAAUUCCCGGUGUAGCGGUGAAAUGUGUAGAGAUCGGGAGGAACACCGGUGGCGAAGGCGGGUCUCUGGGCAUUUCCUGACGCUGAGGCGCGAAAGCGUGGGGAGCAAACGGG
Molecule: ribosomal RNA, 253 nt
Filed under: uncultured bacterium
Lineage: Bacteria
Description: partial 16S ribosomal RNA
Rfam family: Bacterial small subunit ribosomal RNA
Source: RNAcentral